This 506-nucleotide ribosomal RNA is filed under the name uncultured bacterium. RNAcentral's name for it is "partial 16S ribosomal RNA". It matches the Rfam family "Bacterial small subunit ribosomal RNA", at positions 30 to 523 of the family's 1533-position model. The record is from RNAcentral.
AUUGAACGCUGGCGGCAGGCCUAACACAUGCAAGUCGAACGGUAACAGGAAACAGCUUGCUGUUUCGCUGACGAGUGGCGGACGGGUGAGUAAUGUCUGGGAAACUGCCUGAUGGAGGGGGAUAACUACUGGAAACGGUAGCUAAUACCGCAUAACGUCGCAAGACCAAAGAGGGGGACCUUCGGGCCUCUUGCCAUCGGAUGCGCCCAGAUGGGAUUAGCUAGUAGGUGGGGUAACGGCUCACCUAGGCGACGAUCCCUAGCGGGUCUGAGAGGAUGAGCAGCCACACUGGAACUGAGACACGGUCCAGACGCCUACGGGAGGCAGCAGUGGGGAAUAUUGCACAAUGGGCGCAAGCCUGAUGCAGCCAUGCCGCGUGUAUGAAGAGGGCCUUCGGGUUGUAAAGUACUUUCAGCGGGGAGGAAGGGAGUAAAGUUAAUACCUUUGCUCAUUGACGUUACCCGCAGAAGAAGCACCGGCUAACUCCGUGCCAGCAGCCGCCGUAA